This 22-nucleotide microRNA is filed under the name Octopus vulgaris (common octopus). RNAcentral's name for it is "Ovu-Mir-12554_3p (mature (guide))". RNAcentral also lists the same sequence under 1 other name. The record is from RNAcentral. Lineage: Eukaryota; Metazoa; Mollusca; Cephalopoda; Octopoda; Octopodidae.
CAAACUCAGAGAAGAGAUCUGC